GCAGCUUGAAUUGCUUUCCUUUUCCACUCCCAAAGAAAAUAUAAAAUUAUCGGCACCCACACACAUAUUACACUCAAAACUAUAGUGACAUUCUCUACGUAGAACUACAUUAGAGUUUAAAUUGCUGAAAAAUCAAGACAAUUCUAAGAAGUGGUUGAGAGAUGUUCCUCUUCUUCUAAAAACAGUUGAUAGGUAGGGAAGUAAUUUAGAUAAAAUUCUUGUCUAUGGUUGUCAAAAGUUUCUUAAAAGAUGCAUUUCAACUAAAAGAAGAUCCAAAUUAAUGUACUCCCUACCCUCACCUUCCUUUGCUAACACCCUUUCAGCGAGUGUUUUCUUCCUCUGCAAAGGAAAAACAAAUUGGAUUUGAAAAAUAUUCUCAAGUUUCAUAGCUGAAAUUUGGGGCAAAUGUGUCCAGACCAGCUAGCAUUCUCUAUAAAUAUCAACAAAAGCAGGCUUGGGGAUUCUGUGCUUUGGGUCCAAGGAUCCUGGCAAGAAACACAUGUUGAGAUUCCUCUAGUUCAGAAUUUCCAGGGGGUGGAGGUAGAGCCACCUCAACUGUCU
RNAcentral lists this long non-coding RNA (561 nucleotides) under Bos taurus (domestic cattle). Its description in RNAcentral is "long non-coding RNA NONBTAT009258". Lineage: Eukaryota; Metazoa; Chordata; Mammalia; Artiodactyla; Bovidae. The record is from RNAcentral.